Molecule: long non-coding RNA, 421 nt
Organism: Canis lupus familiaris (dog)
Lineage: Eukaryota; Metazoa; Chordata; Mammalia; Carnivora; Canidae
Exons: 3
Source: RefSeq, a predicted model, not a curated record
GUGUAAUAGCUGCUUUGGGGAGUGGAAGAGGCUGAAAGGAAGACAAAGAGUGAAGGUGGGGAAACAAGAUGGUAGUGGUGGAGAGAACCAGUGAAGGAGAAGGUUAAGGUGGUGCUGAGAAGGAAUAGAGAGAUUUUUCUUCUCUUUAAGAGAAGCAGAGGAAAGAAUCCAGCUGCUGACAAUAUAGGGAUAUCUGGCUCCAGGAAUAACAGAUUCUAUGGUACUCAGCUUCUUCAAAAUGAACUCCAGCGUACUGUAGAACAGAAGCGGUGAGAAGAGAUAUGUGUUUUGUUCCUGAUCUAGAGGGUGUAUAAUGCUGGUAUUUCACCGAAGAUUCAGGGUUGCAAAUCCUUGAGUUUUGUGUGGCCACAGCCACUUCCUGGGAUUGUCCCAAGAGAAAUGUAACCAUAGACAUCCAGGU